GAUUUCUGGCUCGUUGCCCUAGCCCGCUUACUUCGGUGGGUGAGUGCUGGUGCAAUCUGCCAUCCUUCCAGAGAGCCGUGAGUACCAUUUACUUGGCCGCUCGCGUGCGAUCUGGAUCAUUUACUUUGAAAAAAUUAGAGUGUUUAAAGCAGGCUUACGCCUUGAAUACAUUAGCAUGGAAUAAUAACAUAGGACUUCGGUUCUAUUUUGUUGGUUUCUAGGACUGAAGUAAUGAUUGAUAGGGAUAGUUGGGGGUGCUAGUAUUCAGCGGCCAGAGGUGAAAUUCUCGGAUUCGCUGAAGACUAACUUAUGCGAAAGCAUU
RNAcentral lists this ribosomal RNA (322 nucleotides) under uncultured Cercozoa. RNAcentral describes it as "SSU rRNA". The stretch from base 110 to 322 matches the Rfam family "Eukaryotic small subunit ribosomal RNA", at positions 741 to 955 of the family's 1831-position model. Lineage: Eukaryota; Cercozoa. The record is from RNAcentral.